UUAGACGCUGCCCAGUGGUCAUCCCAUCCCAGAAGGUUCACGGUAAACAGAACAGGUAACACCAAGGUUUCUAUUUCAUCGCCUGUCCUGUACAGAGUCAACACUGGGAAACUGUGAAGGAGGUUAGCUUCGUCUUCAUGCUCUUCAAGCUGCGCCUUCCCAUGCCUUGUCUUCCGUGGAGAAAUGGGAACCGCCACCUGCUCAGCUUGCUAGCAGAGCCUUUCUUGGGAAUCUGUUCUCAGCUCACAUCCCAGGCAAAAAGAGCUCACCAUUGACAGUGGCUCAAAGUAAAAUCAGAUCCUUUCAGGAGGAAAAGACAAAGGAACUGAGUAAUCUACCAUUAUGUUCCAACUCAUUCUAAACUCAGGUGACUCCAGGACUUCCAGACAAGCUGGGAAGAAGACAGGAAAAAAAGGCACGCUGGGAAAGAGAGUGAGGCUCAAAAUGUGUUCCAGCGACUGCUCCCAUGGAAUCAGUGUCAUUUGGGGAGGAAGAGCUAGAGGGGAACGUUCUCCAUGGAGAAAAGAUGCAGAGCCAUCUUUAAUGCAGAGGAGCUGGGGGCGGAGAGGCAUGAGGUGUAAUAGAGCUCACGGACUGUCUCAGUGAGUUUCCAUUUUCGGGUCAGACGCAGCUGCAGACGUGAUCAAGGACUCCAGUGCUCCACAGCUGGCGGUGGGCAGAUGUUUUCAAGAUGGCAGAAAAGGACAAGAAAGAGCAGCAGAAAUUUCAUCGGCAGCAUCUGCACUCAACAGCUAAGAAAGCCUGGUGACGGGGGAGGGAUGCAGCAGGCUCCACACUGAAGAAGAGGACCACAGCAGGCCAGGCACACUGCGAGGAAGCUGUGUGAAUCUCUGGGGUCCGACACCACAGAUUAGCUUGGUCGGCUGAGUUGAGUUUUUCCCCUUUCACCAGGUGUUGCUUCUGAUAUUUCUAGAAGACACAGUCUCACAGCAAACUCCCUGAUCCUCUGGCUCUUACAUUUCUCCCCCUCCCCCCUGCAAUGUUCCCUGGGCCUUGGGUGCAGAAGUGUUUUGUAUGUGUAUGUGGAUUCAUUGGUACUGAGCUCCACAACUCUGCAUAUUGACUGGUUAUAGUUUUCAGUAGUGGUCUCAGAUAGUAUCCCAAAAGCAACUGGAACUUGAGUUCAUAAAUUUAUAAUUUUCAAAGCCAAUCGAGAUGUAUAUAACUACUGAAUU
Molecule: non-coding RNA, 1196 nt
Organism: Peromyscus maniculatus bairdii (prairie deer mouse)
Lineage: Eukaryota; Metazoa; Chordata; Mammalia; Rodentia; Cricetidae
Source: RefSeq, a predicted model, not a curated record